Long non-coding RNA from Manis pentadactyla (Chinese pangolin), 8383 nucleotides. RefSeq lists it as uncharacterized. Lineage: Eukaryota; Metazoa; Chordata; Mammalia; Pholidota; Manidae. The transcript is spliced from 3 exons. The record is from RefSeq and is a predicted model, not a curated record.
GUCGUACUGAGGGCGACCCCGCGGGCCCCACUGGGCUUUGGCCCAAACCUGACAACCUACCUGGUUACUCACAAGGGUGGCAACGGCCCCUUCCUGAUCCACAUUCACAAAUAGCUGGAGGGCAGGUCUCCUGCUUAAGGGUGUGGAAGCUUAACUAGGAAUAACUGAUUACCCACUUAAAAAAAUUCCAUCCUUAAGGUGACAGGGUAGCCCGGUUCCCUGCUUGAUUUUGCUUUCUCAGAUUUGACAAACAAGGUUAUGUAAACUUGAGCAUUUUAUAGAAUGCAGAGGAUGUAAGUACAGUAAUUUAUGUUGUAUGCUUGACUUCAGUGCUUCUGAGGACUGUUUAAAAUAAUAAUUAAUCUAUUCAAGUGUUAGAGCAAUAUAUUUUCCCUUUGAGCAAAGGAGAAGACUUCUCCCAAUAUAGCAGCAGUUUAGUGAGUGAAGCAAUUAAAUGUGUGAUAUAAAAAGAAGUUGCUUAAUUUAAAGAUCAUGUAAUUUGAUAAACCAAGAAAAAAAAUGAACUUCUGUAAGUUUUUAAAAGUCAUGUGGUAACUUUUUUCCCUCAAAAAAAUUAUUUUGCUAUACAUAGUUGUGUAAACCUACCCUGUUUAUGAUGCUAAAUGCUGUAGAUAUACAAAAAUCUAGUACCGUGAGGUAAGAUAGGGACCAUUUUCUAGUUUUCAGAUUAAACUUUCAACCUCGACAUUUUGCUUCCUUGGAAACUGUUUUACUUGUUUGGUAGUGUGGCCAGGACAGAAAUUCAUUAGUGAGGUCAUGUGAUGAUUUGGUUUACUUCUCAGUAAGGGGCUCACAAAGAGCAUCAGGAUUUGCAUUAAGGAUUUGUCAUACCUGUGUGUCUGGAGUGUGGCUCUCUUAUGUAUCUGGAACCUGGCCAAGGACCAGGAAAGGGGCAAAAAGGCUCCCUCAGCAACAGAAUAGAUGGCAUGAAGUCUGAGGGAAUACUUCAGACCCUUUCUUAAACAUACUUACUCUUAUUUUAGAUAACAAUCCUAACAGUUUUUAAGUCUGAAAAAUAAUUCAUAGCACAUUAGGGAUAGUACGUGUAGAAAUGGGGUGAGGGGCUGCUGUAACCUGCAGUGAAAAGUGACCCCCGACAGCCUGACAACCAGGAAGCAGACAGGAUUUAGACACAAGAAUUGGGAGCAAAAGCCCUGGAGGUGUGGGAAUAUUAGGGUAGGAACUCUCAAUCCACCCUGCAGGCAUUACUCUAUAAAUGGCAUAAAUCCAUAAUUGCUAUUUACCAUUAAUGAGAGUGAACUAUCCAAAAGUAUACAUUUUAAAAUACACUCUUUCAGAAUAGAGGGAAAUACGCCAUAAGCUUUGGAAAUACUGACAUUCAAGAUAAUUAACCUCCAAAGCUGUUUUGGUGUGUAAAGCUCUUACCCAUUCAGAAAACUAGGCUGUGUAGAAUGACUCAUUCAUUGGCUAGCUGAGGUUUUCUAUAGCAAAAUCAUCAUGUAUCACUUUAUCUAGUAAUAGUCAAUUAAACAAAUGUACAUAUUUCUUCUAGUGUUGAGAGAUUUUAAAACUUGGUGAAUGGGAACCAAAUUCAUUGAGGGUCUUGAUCUCAGUAUAAUAGAAAAGAUUAGUUAUAGUAUGAACUAGGCUCUGUUUACUCUAUGACUGACUUUAAACAAAGAUAAUCCUUCACACUUAACAGUGGUUUAUUUGAGGUCCAUGCGCUGUAUUUUGUUACAAUUCAUUAUCUUAAAUUUAGUGUUUAUUGAGAAUCUAGUGGUUCACUGGUUCAAACUUUGCCUCAAGUUCAUGGUCAUCUGCAAUCCAGAGAAAAUGGUUGAGUCAGUUCCUAUGGCUUGUGUGUGUGUGUGUGUGUGUGUGUGUUAUUGGUCAUGAUCGGCUCCCUAAGUAGAGGCUUGUUUCCAGAAUCCUGAUAGCUGUAGAUAAAAAUCUCUUCAGCCCCCAGCCCAGAUUAACAUUGAGAAUUUUGGCCAGUUUCAGUUUGUAGAUGAAAUUGUUUCAGGUCAUUUCAUAGAAAAAAAUGGCAAAAAUGGAACUCACUGACUUCACCUGUAAUUCCCCAGAAAAAAAUAGGUUGUGUGGCACUGUAUAUUUGUGCCAUUUGUAAUUUGGACUUGAAAUUUAUUUUCCAACUGUAACAAUGUAAUAAAUGGAGAUUCUGAAGUGAAUUCACAAAGACUUAUCAACUCACAAAACUGCAUAUCUUGUAGGGGAAAUUGCAGAGGUUUGUAGUAAAUAAAUGGCAGAAAGAUUGUUGCUUUACUUACAAGUCAAUACAAGAGAGAGGAUUAUCGGAAUAGUGGUGCUUGAGACAAAUCUAGUGGUAGAAAUUGAAAAGGACUUGUGGAAACAUUUACUCUCUUUAGAAGGUGAAGCUAUUGGUUCUGUGAGUUUUAUAGUUCUUGGUUUCCAUAGUACAGGUAUGUCAUACCCUGAGUUGCUUUUUUUAGGUCCCAAAUGGAGUAAAAGGAAAGCAGAAUAGAGGUUUUCCUGAUGAUACUGGGUAAGAUCUGGUAUGUAGUUCUUUAACCUAUUCAUUUGACAUACAUUUUUUUGACUGCCUACUCCUUUCCUGGCCCUGUGUUCUACAGUGAGACUAAAAAGGUAACUUGCUAUAUUCCAUUAUUUGGUACAUAGACACCCAAUGUUGAGUAAAUGACUAAUACAGUGUCUGAAACAUAGAUAUGGUAACAAAAGAGGUGGAUGGGAGGGUUUCUGGAAGCACUGUGAACCUAGCAGCUAACUGCCUAGGGGAAGGGGAGUCAGGGAAGACUUCACUGGAGAGGAGAUACGUUUGAGUUGAGCUUUGAAGGAUGGAUAGGAGUUGGUUCAAUAGGUAAAAAGGAUUAUAGAGAGUAAAAAGGAUUAUAGAGAGCUGGCAUGAAGACAUUUUCCAAGCAGAAGUGAUAGCAUUUGUAAAAAUACAGCCUUCAGAAAGGGUGUGGUUGAGUUCAGGAAACAGUGAGUUCAGAGUGGCUAGAUGAACAUAAAAUGAUGAACUGCAAGAGGCGGACGUUAAACCAGAAGUGGUGGGUGUGCAGGACUUGCCAGCUAAGGUAUUUGAGCUUAAUCCUGCAGAGAUGACUGAAAACUCAAGAAGACCUUGGAAAUGUUAAGAAGAAAGUUAAAAGAUGAAAGGUGUGUGUGUGUAUGUGUGUGUACACUUUUGGGAAAGAGUUUUUCAGCAUAUGCAUUGUUCUUUGAGAGGCAAAAAUGGGAGAAGCAAAACAAAGUUUGGUUCAGUUUCCAUUUUGGUCACCUGGUGGCCUCGUCUGCUUGGGGCAGCUUUGUUGCUGUCAGCGUUGAUAUAUUAGGGAGAAGAAGGGAUUGCUAUAGAGAAGAAAAGAAGGGAUUGUCCAGGUGUCCACUUAUUUAUAUCCAUGGGAGUGUCUAUGGCCCAGAGGAUUGUUAGAGUAUAGAUACUGAAAUCAGUCGACUGGGCUAAUCAAUUAAUUUCUAAGCUUCAGUGUUCUCAUCUGAAGAUGGAGCUAAUAAACCUUGUUGUUCUCCAGAAAUUACUUGUUAAUAACUCAGCAAGGACCUAUUCUAUCCCCCACAUUUAGAUUUGGUUCUAAUUAAUGUGGAACUUGUAUGAAUAAUGUUUUCCUAAAUGAUAGGAAAUCUUUCCAUUUAAAGAAUUAUCAAGAAGAGAUUGGAGAUGACUUGGGACCCUGAAAAUAUAAGAGUCUACUUGGGUCCAUCUUCUGCAUUUUAGCUUUGCUGUUCUAAUCUUUAUCACGUUGGGUCCAAAAAAAUGCAGCACUGACCCAAUUUCCUCAAAUAACUUAUCAACACCUUUUCCUUUAUUUGGUGAAUGUAAAAAGAAAUCAUUUUGUUGAAUAAAAUGUAUGAAGAACUUUAUAUCUGGAACACUUCACUUAAGGUAUUACAAUUUUUGGGAGGUUUGUGUAGGAUGAUGGGUAAUAAGUCAUACAUAUUCACACUCUUUUUUGUGAAUAACUUCGAUUUGGUUGUUUAGCUUGGGUGCUUAAGGCCUUGUGCAACUGAGCUUGUGUUAUUAACAGGCCUAUCAAAGCAGUAAAAGGUAGACAAACGUAAGAGCAGUCAAAUGAGUUUGUUUAUGUUUAAAUAAACAAACCAGGGUGAAAUGAGGGUUCUUAAGGACUGAGAAGUUAUUGAAAAUCUCCCAGUAUAUCCUGCAGGGGUGUAGUUCUCAAGAGAAUUGACACCACCAGAGAAGAGCACAUACUUCUGCUCUCUGACCUGAGGAGAGAUUAGGAGGUUUUCAUCCAUGAGUGAAAUGCCUUAUGUAACUUACUUGCUUGGAAAGGUGUGGUGCUCAUAUAAAUCUUUUUACCUUUCUAAGAUAUAAUUACUACCUUGAGUUUUAGCUUGUUCCUUCCUUUCUGUCCCUCCUAAUCAUUCCUUCCAAGGCUUAUUACUGAGUUCAUCCACUUCACAUAGAUUAAGAUGCAGAAUCAGACAUUUCCUCUGAGCUGUGGAAGCUACCUGAAGCAGGACUCUUGCAAAGGAAGCAGAACUUUCAGAACAGGAGCCAAGGGCUCUACCUCUCUCCGUUAGCUAGUCAAGCCUUGGGCCUGCUCUGAAGCCUGCACCCCAGGAGCCAGCUUGGGGUUUGGAGAGGCUACCUUGCCUUUAUGGGGCUUGUCAUCUCCGUAGGACUCAUGAGCUAGUUCUAGGGUUUUGUUCCCACUCUGCAUGUCAACAUUUUAGUAUGCUUUUCCUUCUCUUCAUUUACUAAGGGAAAACAUCAAUCAAAUGAUUCAAUGGUUUCUUUUACGCAAUGGGCAAUACCACUAAAUGGUGCCUGGCAAAGAAUAUCAAGUCAGAAACUGUGGGACCCAGUUGCUCAGCACAUAUUAAUUCACCAAUUAUCACAGCAGAGAGCUAGGUGCUAUGUCAAAUGGUGAGUUAUGUGUAGUGAUUCCUCUCAAGGAGCUUAUGCUUGAGUUGUGGAGAUAAAGCAAAUAUAUAUGUACACACACAUACAUAUAUAUAUGUGUGUACAUAUAUGUAUAUAUAAAAUAAUUAGACCAUAAAUAGUUACCUAAUGCUUGGGUUCUGAUGAGAGAACAAAACUGGAGUUGAACGAAAGGGUGAGGGCAGGAUGGUGGGUUGGGUAGUCUGAGAAGUAAUGAUGGAAGAAGUAAAUUUGAAUGUGUCAUUUUAAACAAGUGCUUUAAGGCUCACAAGAUUCUUGCCCUCUUAGUAUCUCUAAUGUGUGUUUCAUUAAGGAAACCACAUGUAUGUAUAAGGGGACUCUGGGCAUUGGCCAUGUAAGGGGCAGGCUUCUUGGGCCUUUGAAGGAUGAGUAGGAGUACAUAAGGCAGAAGGGAGUGUGAAGCAUGGUGUCCAUCAGGAAUGAGUUCUCAAAUGGAAGGAGCAAUCCAAACACUUCUCUGAUUUCUAACAUAUUUGAGAGUAGGAAAACAAGACAUCUGCUCACCCAAAUAUUUCUGUCCAUAAAAUUAUCCAUAAAAUUAUGAGACUUAGUUUUCUUGGCUCCUCCCAGUAAAAUACUUUUGCAUGUUACUUUGAUUAGAACAGUGUUAAGCAGAAACAUCUUAAACACCUAUAAGAAAAGAUUAACUGUCUUAGACCAGUUCUCAAAAUUUAAUGUGUAUACAAAUCACUUGGGGAUCUAGUUAAAAUAAAAACCUUGAUUGAGAAGGUCUGGGGUUGGGGUGGGGGCGACUGAGCUCCUGCAUUUCUUAUAAACUCCCAGUUGAUGAGGCUGCUGCAGGUCUGUGUACCUGUGUGGAUCUCUGAAUAGAAAGAUCAUAGACUUUUAGAGGUAGAAGGUAAUUUAGAAGUAACUGGUGCAUUGGCUUUCAAACUUUACAGAUGUAUAUCAAAGAAGAUUUUUCUCUGCAGAUGAAAACAUAUGGGAAGUGGAUGGUGACUCCUCCCCAUUCCCACUCCCCAACCCUAACUCCAAGGAGAGCCGUUUGAAAAUCUGUGGCCAUGCAUUGUGAUUUUCCCAGGCUCAGAGACAUUCGAACCAUCUCUCACAGCCCAAAUUGAGUCUGGGAUUGAGGAGGACAGCGCUGUGCUGUGCUGUAGCAUUUCCCCCAGUGCUUUAAAGGUGCCCCUGCUGGAAUUUCUAGGCAUUCUAAUGAUCGGUGUCCCGUGGAAAAUGAGGCUCCAGGAAAGAUUCAUUUUUGCUGACGCUGUGGACCAUAAAGUUGAGCUGGAAAGAGCUGGAAUGUUAAUUCGAGACCGGAUGGGAGAGAUCUCUUCCUAUUUCCCCAGCGCACCCCAGCGCAUACCCAUAAAGGGCAGUCAUCAGAAUUUCUGAGGCAGCUUAUCUUGGAUUCAAGUGUUUGUGUGUGCAGCAUAAAUACAUAUAGAGCAUUGACUUUUCCUGUAUACAUUUAAUCUUGUAAAUAUGUGCACCAAAUAUGCAAUUUAAAUGCGUGACUAAAAUGGCAGUGCUGAACCACUUGAAUUUCUGAAGAGUGGGAAGGGAAUAAGGGAAUCAUCAGAAGCCUCAAUAAAUAACAUUGUCUCCACUUGAAGAAGAAAAGAAGCAGGGAGAAAGUUGGUCUGUAUCUUCCUGGGCAUGAUACCAGAAGAGUAUUUAAAACUUGAUUUGCAAGCAUUUGGAUGAAGGAAUAGACAGCAGCCUGGUUCCCCUAAGAAUGGGAAGAACAGGUCAUGGAGAAUUAAUGUCAUUUCCUUUUUGGUGCGGGAAUGGGAAAGGCAGGAAGAGUGCAUUUAUGGAGAGACUUCUGUCUUCUGGGCAGAUCAUAGGAAUUCUGGUAAACAUUCCACAUCAAGGUUUCAGUGCAGCCUUGAUAAAGCCCUUUACUUCCUGAUGAAUGAAACAGAGACCUGGGUGCUGGGCAAGAGUUAGUGGUGGCAUUACCUUGGCUUUAAGUGACUGUCAGGCCUGGUUGUGUCCACUGUCAGCCUUAAGGGAGGUGUUUGGUGCUCCUAGGGCUCAGGACUCACAUGUUCUACAUCAUUAUCCAUGUUGACAUGUGACUUAGUCUGGGUUCCUCAAGUAAGCAGAGCCCGAGGCAAAAACAUGCAUGAAAAAGACUUCUGGCUUUUAGUAGAGCUUAGUGUGAAUAAUAUCACAAUGUGGGUGCCUCCAAAGCUACUAGCCCUUUACUAAUAUAUUAUAUAUAUAAUAACAUUGUAUGCAGAACAGGUCUUCUGUACAGGCUGCACCAUCCCUUUAGUCUGGGGAGCAGUUCUGGGCACACACUUAGAGGGAGAUGGAUGAAUCAGGAUGUGGUCAGAGGAAAGAGAAUGAUGGAGCACCUGAGCACCUGGGGAACAGGUAGACUGGAGAAAAAGACGAACAGAGAACAUGACAACUAUCACUGGCUCCUUGAAAGGCUGGCUUGGAGUUGAGGGAUUUAAUUCUGUAUCCAUGUAGAGGUCAGUGUGUAGAAGCUAAAGGUCAUUUAGCUCAAAGUAAAGAAAACCGUGUGAUGAUGGAGCUCCCAAACAAUGGCAUAAGCUGCUCCAAGAGGCAGGAGCUUGGGUCUCACCGGAGGUGGACAAGCAGUUAGCAUUGUGCAGAGCAUAGAAUGGUGCUUCUACAUAAGACUGGCUCCUGUUUGUUGAGCACCUGCUCUGGGCCAGGUGACUUAAUGAAUUCUUCACACACAUGAUCUCAUAGAAGCUGUGAUCUCUUGGAUGACCUCCAAAGUCCCUUCUAACCUUAAGAUUCUAUGACUUCUGUGAAUCAGGAAUAAGAGAAUAAAACCGUCAGGAGCAGAGGAAAAGAGAGAAGAGACAAUGAGUGGAUGAAUGAAUGAGUGAAUGAUAAGGGUGGUCUCGGAAGUUGUCAGAUUAUUUUCAUUGUGUUUCCCUGUACUUCUUGACCUGUUUGUGCCACAGAUUUAUGGCUGUUUGUUUAAGAAAUACACCUAUCGAGUGAUUUUUCUAUUCUUUCUGAAGUAGGCAGUGAGGUGAGGCCAGGUCACCCUCCUGAGUGGGGCUCCAGUGUUUAAGAAAAGAUUUAGUAAACUGAAUUGAAUCUUGUUUCUCUUUUGGAUCCCACAAGAGCAGUGGUAAGCCCUGAGUGUGUCAGUCAUUUAUUAGCAGAGGUAACUCAUCAUUGCAGUCUCCAUCUCCAAGUCUAUUUUGUUCUCUCCAUGUAGUUCUAAAAGUCACCAUAGCAUAUAUUCUUUCUUUCUUUUUUAAAGCCCUUUCCAUGUGUCUGGCACUGUGCAGAUAGUUACACAUACACACAACCACUGUGUCUAAUUACUUUAUAGAUGAACUGUACAAAGAACCAGAACUAAUGACUGUGAAAAUUUAAUGUGAUAUAUUGCAAUAAUUAGAUGAUGUGCCUGUUAUUACCCAGAGUCUAGCACAUGGUACGUGCUUAAUAACUGGUUACUAAAUCAUGUAAGUCCCACAAAGCAGAUACCAUUUCCAU